RNAcentral lists this ribosomal RNA (468 nucleotides) under uncultured bacterium. Its description in RNAcentral is "partial 16S ribosomal RNA". It matches the Rfam family "Bacterial small subunit ribosomal RNA", at positions 28 to 507 of the family's 1533-position model. The record is from RNAcentral.
GACGAACGCUGGCGGCGUGCUUAACACAUGCAAGUCGAACGGACAGGCCCUGCUUUUGUGGGGUGCUCGAGUGGCGAACGGGUGAGUAACACGUGAGUAACCUGCCCUUGACUUUGGGAUAACUUCAGGAAACUGGGGCUAAUACCGGAUAGGAGCGCCUGCUGCAUGGUGGGGGUUGGAAAGUUUCGGCGGUUGGGGAUGGACGCGCGGCUUAUCAGCUUGUUGGUGGGGUAGUGGCUUACCAAGGCUUUGACGGGUAGCCGGCCUGAGAGGGUGACCGGCCACAGUGGGACUGAGGUACGGCCCAGACUCCUACGUGAGGCAGCAGUGGGGAAUAUUGCACAAUGGGCGGAAGCCGGAUGCAGCAACGCCGCGUCCGGGAUGACGGCCGUCGGGUUGUAAACCGCUUGCGCCUGUGACGAAGCGUGAGUGACGGUAAUGGGUCAAGAAGCACCGGCUAACUACGUG